CUCGUGGGAAUAGGUGAAAGCGACAGAGGCUGGAGACAAAGAUGAGAAGCAAUCCUUAACGCGCGAGCGUCUGCCCACCCCGCAGAGAGGAAAAUCAAAAAGCUGUCAGCACGGAGCGCGGUGCUGGGCGGGAGGCAGCGAGCAGCUGGGCGAUGGGAGUGCUCCAGAAGCUUGAAGCAGUGGUCAUGCCCAGGCCAUGGAGGAAGGCAGUGGAGGAAGGAUGAGGUGGCUCCAGGAAACAACACCACAAAGUUAGCAGUGUGAAGUGGAUGAUGAUGUGGUGUCAUUCCCAGAAAGUCUUCUGCUGUUGGUAUCUCGUGAUGCAUCUUGACAGUGUGAUGGCAUCCCACAGCUCUCUGUGCAUCUACAGCUAGCAGCAGGUAGUGGCUCUUGAUCACUCACCAGGUCAAAAAGAAGAAAGGUUACCCAACAUUCAUCAGCUGCAACAUGGAGUUUCAUUGCUAAUAAUUGUAAGUACCAACUUCUUUUUUUAGUGUCUCCAAAACGUUAAAAGUAAUCUUUUCUUUAAACAAAAAACAUCUUUAGAGCUGCCGUCUGAAAAGAUAGGAAAUGAGAUUAGCCUUGUCAUAAGCAUUUGUGGCUCAUCUUAUUUGCUAAAAAGGCGAUACUGGAGGAUCAGCUUUUUGAUACAAUACCUAACAUUUUGAUGCAGAUUGCCCAGGAUGUUGUUCCAAGCACUCACGCUGACAUUUCCUAGUGUUCAGUGCUGCUGCUGUGCUGGCAUCCUGGUACUGCUCGGUCCCCUUAGUGAUCUGCAGUAGCACUGGAUGGAUCCCAGUGUUUAGGAUGGAAACCUCAAACAACCUGUGAUUUUCUGUAUCCUUGAUGGUGAAAUCUGUUCCCACUCUAACAGUAAUUAGGGUCAAGCCUGAGCAGCCACAACUAUUGAGAAUCCUGUAGAUGAUUCAUCCACCUUGUUAACUCUCAUGAUUAUUAGAAUCUGUGCUCCAUAUUUAAUCUCAGCUGGUAACCUAUGGCAGGAAUCAUUUUCACAGUUAGAAAGCAAAGAAGAGAACUUGGCAACUGUGCCCACUAAAAAUCCUAAGUACCUUCUGAUCUAUGGGACCAUUUUGCUCUUCUCCAUCACAUGUGUAUAUUCCUGUGAUUUUAUAGGAUGUUCUGUCUCAGAGGUAUUUGAAAUUUGAUAGUGAAACCAAGUCAUUGGUACUCAUGCACAAUUUCUAACCGCAUAGUCCCCUACAGUCUAUAACAGCUGCAACGUAAGUGAAUCACUAAUGAUGAUAUCCCUAUUUGAAUGCAAAGUCUCCCUACUGACAUUUCCUCUGGGUUACCUAGCUCUGUAAGCCUGUGCUCUAUGAAUUCACUGGAGUCAUUUGGGCUGUGCUGAUGUGCACCAGUGGAGGACCUGACUCGCUCUCUGGUGGCUGCUGUGUGAGCAAUUCGUAUCUUUUGGGUUAAUGAUCCUGGACCUUUAUUCCUCUCUUCUUUCCUCUCAUUUUUUCAGACAUGCCACCUAUUACUUUGACAUUUCUCUGCGAUCCACAGAACACCAUGGCACUCUGCUGCUUUCUCUCUCCAGCUUUAUGUGGGAUAUGCUACUAGUACACAUCCUAGUUUGACAUCCAUAUGUUUGGGGAAUCAGGGCACUCUUUGGUGUCCAUGCCUCCCAGUAAAGGCUUUUACUGUAAGUGCAAUUACAGAACCACCUCUGGUAUGUAAGUUUUGCUCCAGAGGGAUGGACUAUAGAUCAGUUAGAGAGUCAGUUCACAGCAUAAUCAGGAAAUCGUAGGUUUUCUUUUCUUUCUUCAUCUUUGCUUCCUUAGCUAAUCGCUUUUCUCUCUUCAAACUUAUCCGCAGACUUCUAUUAUCUCACCCUGGACUUGGGAACCAGCAUCAAAAGAGCUCUCCCACCAGGUGGCAUUUUGUCACAUGUCCAGCGCUAAUUCUAACACGAACAAUUUGUACAUAAAAUUAUAAAACUGAGGGCCACUAAAGUGCACCUGUAGAGCAGAAACUUGACUGUUCGCGAUUCUGUUCUAAUUAUUGAGCCUUAGAGCAAAAAGUACGUUUCAAAGAAAACUUUCUGUACAGGCCUCAAUAGAGUUAAAGGAGAAACAUUUUAAGUUGAUGAGCUGACACUUGUAGAAGCAAAUAUAUUAAAUAAAUCAUGAUUCGUUUGGGGGCUAAAUCUGACUUACAUCAACUCUGGAAAAACUAGAUCCUAAUGAGUGACAGUUUGGUGUUUUCUGUCACUUCCUACAGUAAUGGCCCCAAGCUGACACCGCUCUGUGGGAGUCUAAUACUUCUGAACAAAAGUUUUUUUGGAGUGAGAUAGACAAGGUAGAAAUCCCAAGGUGACUGGAAGGAAUGUCUAAUGACUGGAAAGACAUAUUUACUGGCAGACUGUAUGUAAGCUGUGACAGUUGACAGGGCUUGAUUGUAAUAAAUAUAGUUGAUGAAGAGAAGGGUGACAGGUGAGGACAGAGAGAGAAAAAGAGUCAAAAGAUCUGCAUUGGCUGAACCCUAUUAAUGGUAAGUUGGUAACAAAGCCCAGAGUCAUAAAAGAAAACAGUUAUCGCAAACUGAUGUCUAAACAUUGAAAUGUGUGGGACCUACGGGUUGCUGUAACAAGCUCAGAUUUGUUGACCUUUCUUCUAGCUAUUUUAUAGGUGGUGUUUCUAGUUGUAUCUUACACCAGCAGCAGGCAGUAGCCGACAUUUUAAAAUAUCACCUGUGAUUAAUCACGUAACGGAGUAAACUCUGAUCAAGGUCAUAAUUAUUGCUUCGAUCUAUAACUUCCAUUGCUUUGACUGGGGGAUUUGAUGUAGGAAAAUGUGCCUCCAAGUGCUGUGAAGGAAGUAAUCUUCCUGGUGGUCUGUUCUGCUGAAAACAAAAUGAAUUCCUCUAAAAGAAAUUAAGCAACAAAAAACCUGAAAAUAUUUAUUUAAAUGCAGAGGCUCACUGCACACACACACACACACACACACACACACACACACACACACACGGAGUGAUUGACCCUGAAAAUGGAAACAACUCUGGCAUAUUAAAUUGUGACACUUUAUAACUGACUGGUCAGAGUUUCAACAAUAGGAUUUCCAAUGAGCUCUGCACUUUCUUCCCCCAGGCAAAUGUCACACACUGAAACUAAACAGGAUCUUUUUUUUCUUGUUCAUCCGACGUGCUGUUUUCUGUGCCCAAGAUACGAAUCUGUAUUUGAAAAUGCCUUAACCCUUUGGAAGGACAACCCUUCCUCUCUGUGCCCCAGGAGGGAGUUUUGCAGCAGAUGUGGGGGACGUUGCGUUGGCGUUGGCACCGAGGUCAUUCUGCAUGCUCGAUGCACUCCCACUGCAAAAGGUGCCAAGACAUAUUCAAAGUCAGUUCCUUGUCAAAAGAUGGAAACAGAGGACAAAGCAGGAACAAAAAUCUUCAUGGAGUGUAUCUCUUCUAUAUGGAAAUGUGACUUUGACCACUGCUUGCAUCAGGGUCAGGUUUUCACUUCAAUACUGCUGAAAAGGACACUAGUGGAUGGCUUUUUGCAACUGUUUUUUAAUGUGAAUAUAGGAUUAACACAGGAUGUUUUCUUUAAGUUAUGUGAUCUAAUCAAAAUACUGUUAAAAGUAAAAACUGAAGCUGAGUGUCAGGGAAAACUGUCUGAAAUUAAAUUCAUGAAGAAAGAUAGCUUCUGAGAAACAACUUUCCCAAGAGUGUAAUAAUCUUCUGAUUGUUGCAUAUGGCGCUAGAACCUUAAUAAAGGUUCUGAAGUCUAUGAGUCUCCAAAUGAGGAUAAGUAACUUUCUAGAAAAGCAUAGCUUUCCAGGUUUUGCAUAAAGUUUUCCUGCAGAAAUUGUUUAAUGUGUUUAGAUAUCUUCCUUUAGUUUAAACUAUCUCUACAAUUAUUUUAGAAGCUGAAAAAGAACAAACAAAAAAUCUCCUUUGUAGAAUUCAUGACUCAAACUAAAGCUACGACUAGAAGCAGAGCUUUGUGCGACCCCAAGCAUGACAUUAUGGACAUGCCACUUGUACUGACAUAAAGUUUACAGUUGUAUUUAGGUUGUUAAGAGGAAAAGUUUUUUUGCUUGCCACACUAAGUGGAGGUUCAUGCCCAAAACUUCAGAUACAAAACUCCUGUUUUGUCUUUUGCUAUUUGUUUGUAAAAGCUUGCCAAGUGCAUGACCCUCAUUAUGCACCUUGGUGUCAUAAUAACUGUGUGAGAACACCCUGCAAGUGCUUUGCUCCAAAGGAAGCUUCUGUGAGAAAGAGAAGCAAAUACAUGAUGCUGUAAUACUUUCAACAGACACUAUUGAGAGCUCUAUUUGAGGACUGAUGUGUCAGCUGCUCAUCAAUGCAACCUUAGUGUCAAAUACUUUGGGGAAGAUUUCAGAGGAAAGGGAGAAAGAGAAAAAGCGUGGGAGUAAGAAUAAUGGGCCAAAAUUAUUUCCAGUGUAGAUGUGCUGAAGCAAACUGUGGUUUCACUGAGGAGAAGUUUGCUCUGUUGUGUUCCAGGCUUCUCAUUUAGGUUGAUUACAUGGCAACACAGAAUUGAUUUCUUGAGCUUAGGACAGUUGGCAAACUUGACUAGACUUAAAAUGAACCUCUUUGAUUCUGUCUACAAAAUUAGAGCAGAUUUGAUAAAGUAAAGAUGUAUCCUUUGAAGUAUUCCCUAUCAACAUAAGUGCUAAGAACACUUGAGCGAAGGAAUUUUAACAGUUUUGAAAGCAGUAGCAAAAGAACUUCAAUAAGGAUUGCAGCUAAGGGCAUGCCCACAAGGCACUAUACUAACUGUAUCUAUCCUGCAGGCAAUAAGCAAUUGCUAAAGAUUCCAGACUUUUUAAAGUUCAUAGUUCAUCUCAUAAAAACUUUACAUGUAACUUAUGAUAGGAUUUUGCUGGAUGGGUUUGGCUUCCGCUACAUGACUGCAGAAGGAGGAGUCUGUAAGUUGAUCUGCAUAUAAGGACAUGAAGGAACUUUCCUUUUCUCUUGUAGCGAAUGAUGACUGAUGAUAGGUCAAUCUUGCAAGGUGCACAAGUGUGCUCAUGUCCUGUUAUAUUAGGUGUUACACUCAUGAAGGUGAUACACUUCCUCCAGGCACUUCAGCAGAUCAAGAAAAACACCAGCCCAAAUGCUUUGUUGAUCUAAGAUCACAUCACAGAAGAAAAUAGGGCUGUCCUUCACACUAUGGAUUUGUUAUGGGUGCUAGAUUUCAGGUACCCAUGCUGUCGUAAGUUAUUUUCCCUUGAGCAGGGAAACACUAUAAAGGACAAACAACAAUUUAAUGGUAAUUUCAGUUAGACCAGAUAUCUACUUGGCAACUCUGAUUCUGCUGGCCCAUCAACAACAAUGCUACCACUGCUGUGGGCAGUGUGUGUGUUGGGUAACCCAUUAUGGCCUUGAAAAUCUACCAUUAGCAAGGCAGAGCACAAAGGAAGGAAAGAACAGAUCUGGGCAGAAAUGAGAAGAAAACCAAAAAGGACGUUUUGAACUGCAAAGUUGCAGACACUAGGAAGUGAGUCACAAAACAACUUGGAUAUUUAAUUUGGGAAGUAGAGGAUAUUUAAUUAAAAAGCUUUUACUUUUCUAUGUGGAUUUCAUACUGGUGGUACUCGACAGAUUUCAGUGUGACCACAGCAAAUUAGUGGAAGCCACAGUUAUGGAAAUACAGAUUCUUAAACAUGAUCAUGUCACUGUGGCUUAAGGAACUACUGCGUGUCAGCUGAGCUGUGGGAAUUGACAUGUGUGUGCCCUUAGCUGGCCACAAGCACGAGUCUGUGAGUCAGUGUAAAUAUCUUUCAGUAACAUUUAAGCAAGCAUCUUUCAGCUCAUACUUGCAGUGGGUGAAGGAUAUGUACAGUUAGUUGUUGGUGAUCACCUGAUGAAUAGAAAGGAAUCAUUACACUGCAGUAACUCAAAAAUGUCUGACUCCUUAAACUAAAAAUGGGAGAAAUGUGUGUGAUGUUUUAGAUCACCUAGUAUUUUUUCCCGAAGUCAUGUGGUUCCCAAAUUCCCUUCACAGUUCUUCCCCAAAUCUGCUAUGAAGGCAUUACUUCUACAGUGACACAGAAAGUAAGAGAAUUAAAAGAGGCUGAGAGCAGAGAGUAGCUGAAAUGGUUUCAAGGAUAACAAAGUGUGAACGCAUGCUCUCCCCAUGAGCCUGAUCCAAAGGCAAUGGACUCACUAGGGUAGUUUUCUCUGUUGACUUCAAGACAUUUGGAAUCAUACCCAGCUUCUCAUGGUUUAAUGAAGAAAAUGUAGGCCAGGAAAACAUUUUCCUCAGACUUAUCAUUUUUCCUAGAUGGUAAGAGGUGCCUUAUAAAUGCCCACAAGAAUAAUUUGUAAUGGAAAUUAAUAAUUUUUGACCUUUAUGAUUUAACUACAUGAAACUUUACCUUUCUCAAUGCUGAAGCUUUGCUACUGAUUAGGUAUCACUCUGAAUUCACUGAAAGGUAAUAAAAACUGGCUGAUUAGACAACCCCAGGCACUGCAUCUUAAAGAGUUAUUAAACAAUCAUUAUAGAUAGAAACAGCUACAACUGGCUUCUGUUGAAACACUGCUUAUUAUUAUAUAAUCCUUUUUCAAGUCAAAAUGAAUGCAUAAUCAAAGCACAAAGCAAGCAGUUUGAAAGUUCUGAGCUGGCUGUGCAAAGCUAUAAUGCAUCAACGAACCUCUGAAUUAGUGCUCAAAACAGUAGAUGAUGAUAGAUGUACGGCAGAAAAAGAAAUGGAGGAAAAAGAUGGAUUCACAGGCAUAGUCAAACUAAGAGCUUCUUCCGAAAUCAUUUCAUGUAGAGCCCUACAGGAAACCAUGGCCUUUACAGCUUUCACCCAGAGGUGUUUGGGGUUAAGAAGAAAAGUUGAGUGCAUUUCUGUUGUGUCACAUGUCUAUUAUAGACAUUGCCAUUUGCAAGGAGUCACAUUAAACUUUGCAGCUGAAGACGUACAAACUUUGAGAUUAAUCUGGUUCAGAAACACUGUGAAUUGAUCCUUGCCCAAUAACAUUUCAGCUUUUAACAGACUCCUUAAUGAAAAUUCAUAAGAUCCUCUCCAGAUAAAUAAGGAUACAUUCUGAUCUUUAUUGUACUGGUAUGAAUUUGGAGCAACUUUGUUGAAACUAGUGGAAUUGCUCUGGAUUUACUAAUAGCAUAAAUAAGAACAAAAUGAAAAUGAGAGACUUUAAGAAGACUUAAGCCAUCAAUUCAGCUUUCUCAAUUGAGAAGGUUGCUUAUUAAGUUUAUAGUACAAAAUUUCUGUCUUCUUCCCUCUUUAUAAUAACAUCUUUUUUAACAGUUCUUACUAAAUCUGCAUGAAAUGAACUGCAUGAAAUAAAUGAUCAGGAUGUUUAAGUUUCCACCCUGUACCACCUGCAAAUUACAGGCCAGAUCCAUUUGCUUGAUUGAGGCAAGUAAGAGUCAUUACCACAUAGGUCAGCUGAUUUUUCCCUUCUUAAACACCUGCAAAUGCAAGUCACCUGGGACUUUGAACCUAUUAAGGUUCUCAUAAUUGAGACAAGGGUAAAAUAGUUUGUAAAAUGGUACAUGAACAGAAAGAUGAGAGGGGGAGAGAGAAAGACACUCUGGUUGGAUGACAGGAAAUCAUAUAACCAUAUUUGCAACUGAGCUUUGGGAGCAUGGUCUUUAUAAUGGGGUUAGCUAAUCUAGAUAGUAAUAAGGAUAGGAAAGUCAGCAAUCAUAAUCAUAUUUAAUGGAUUCCAGAUGGAGAAGUAUAAUUGUUCUCAUUAUCAUUGUGAAAACUCCAAGGAAAUACAAUCCCAAGAUACUUUACCUUGACAAGCAACGAGGAACAAUAUUGACAUCAAGCCAUGGGUUUUGUAGGAAGAGCUGUGUUGCUGUUUAUGCUUCACUGUUGGAUGACUCUCUAAGAACUGAAGAGGAGCAAUCAGGCUUAAAGCUCAACCCUUUGGAUGCUAUUGGCUGCCCAUCAGCACUGCAAAUUUUGGGUACUCUAGGUACCCAAACAGAAAGAUACUGGGAGUACCUCUGAGGAUGGGCAUCCUCAUGUACCAUGAGCGUUCCCCUACUGAGGUGGGUCUCCAGGCUGGCAUGUGCCCCCAGAAACAAGUCACUGUGAAGCACCACAAGUAGAGGUGAUCUGAGGCUUUUUAACUCUGCAAACAAGAACAUACCAUGCAGCCAGCAUCCUCAGGCACUGCUGUCCCCACAGAGCUCCCAGACAAUGAGAGGAGGUAACAAGGACCUGGGGGGAUAGAGUUGGGCACAGGUGAGGAUUGUUGGGACACAUGAGGAGGGGAAGAAUUCACAGUACUGCAGAGAGAGCAGAAGGAUAGCACUGGGAGGGAUAUUUUCUUUCUUUCUUUCUAUAUUUUAGGCCCCACAACCCCUUCAAAUCCCACCACUGCCAAGUUUAGACAUUGAGUCCCUGGAGCAUGUCCAAGAAGGGCAAUGGAGCUGGUGUCUAGAGCACAAGUCUUCCGGGGAGCUGCUGAGGGGGACUGGGAUUGUUUGGUCUGGAGAAGAGGAGGCUCAAAGGAGACCUUAUGACUCUCUACAACUCCCUGAAAGGAGAUGGUAGUGAGUGAGAAAUACAUGCUUUUGGUUCCAGAAGAGAAAAUGAUCACAACAUCGGGAUUUCCCAAAGGACAGAAAUUCUGGUCCAUCCAUUUCAUCCCAUGAGGGGCUCUUGUUCAUGACUAGGAAAUGUGGACUUGUUCCAAGUGCAGAACAGGCUCCAAAAGUCCCAAACCACCAGAAGCUCCCAAAGCCCCAAGAGCUCACAAUCAAAGUAAAAGGCAGGGGGCAACAGAUGGACGGAGACAGAUGGAGAACCACAAAGAAACCUGGAGACACAACAGAGACAAAAGCUUGGAGAAAUUGUUACCAGAACAUGGUUAAAAGUAAAAAUAGCCUUGUUUACAACUAGUACCUGUUGCAUUGAAGAUUUCUAGCUCAACCUACUUAGUAAGACUUCUUCCAGCUGGAUUCUCAGUGAUGAAUAGGCAGUGAAAAUGUGGCCACAGAGCCCAGGAGAAGAGAUGGUACUUUCUUCUUUAGGACUUUAUCUGUAUAACCUCAUCAUACAGGACCGUUGAGAGUCAAACUCCAGCAUCUAAUGAGUCUCCACACAAAUGUGUAGCAUUGAAACCAAAUGGAAACAUCCAUCUGUGGAGGAGAUAGCUAUUGCAUUUUGCCCCACCUUUCCACAGCUUAUAUGAUCACAGAGAAGAGUGGCUUGGAAAUGGCAGCACUGUCUUGUGAUCCAGGGGGGGUGAAAUCAAUUCUUCUCUAUGGCAUAGAUUUCCUUGGCAAAUCACCUGUUUCUCAGAGUGGAGGAAAAAUUUUGGUCUUUUUCUACUUUGCUAAGUGGAAGGUCAAGUGGUUAUUUAAGACUCUGAAUGAAUGAUGUGUGACAUAAAAUAACAAAGAUACAAUAAAUACAAUUUAUCUUGUUCUAUGGCUUCUGCAAUACGAUUAACUGAAAUACUGUAGUUAAUGUGUAAUUAAUGAGUGGAUGGGCUGUUGCCAGCUAUGUACAUGUUUGAUAUCAGCAAUAUUUUAAAGUAAAUGAAAUUAAUAAUGAAGCCUUUUUGACAAAUUUGUAUCUUGAUAGUGCAGAGUUCCCCCCCUCAUUCAGCCAUCAGCUAUCCCUUAUUUGAAGAGCUGAACCAGCUUGACUGGGUCAAUGCCUUUUCUCUUGGUCCCUUCCAGUUUUCAGAGGACUUUCCAUCUGGUUUCUCUGGUGGUUCCUCCUAUUAUUUUUUGUGUGCAUGCUUGGGUAUUUGCAAAGCUUACCAGGAGGACCCUCUUGUUAUGAGCAACCACUUUAAAGCAUCCCCCUGCUUCUCGGUACUUUGCUUGACAUGUAGUUAAAACAAAUUUCCACCUGGCAACUGUUCCUUUCUUCUUUUUUUUUUUUUUUCUUUUUCCAGUCCUAUGAGUGAGCACUCAAGACAGAUUUCAUUUCCUUUAAUUGCUCCCAACCUGUACCACUCGCUGCAGUUGGGCCUGAGGAAAAGCAUUCAAGGCAGCAAUCUCCAGGCCUUUAAAAUUACCCAUUCUCAUUUUCACGUUAACCCUUCAGUUCUCUGCACACAGGUUGUGGCAUUUGGCAACCCACCACCUGGUGUGAAUUUUGCUAUGGCAGGAUGAGGUUCCAAGCCAUCAUCUGCACUUAUAUUUUAACUCUUAAACUCCCAAUAGAUUAUUACGUGCCUGGAAAUGAAUAUGCUCACUGCAGCCUCUUUUUUUACCCUUGGUAUCUACAUUAUUCCCUUACUUUUCCUCUGCUUUUAUGAUAGACUCCCUCAGGUCUCCUCCUCUUUAGCGUAUUUUCUACCAGGACCUGCAGUCCCUCUGUACUUCAAAGCCACCAUGCCUCCCCAGCGAACCUAACCCCUGAACCCCACCUGUUUUCAGGCCAUUUUAAUUCUUAACUACUACCACAGCAAUCAACCUCAUUUGCUUUUCUUCCUGACGCACAAAGACAUGGGCCCAUGUCAAUAGGGGGUGUGCUUUAGGCAUGCAGGCUUGGCAAGGAACCAGCUCCCCUUACUGUGAGUAGACAAGGGUCAUUUAAUUUAUCUGUAAUUCUGUAGUCUAUCAGUGCCCACCCCAUCACUCCAUGCCCUCCCUGGCUCACAGACCAGAGUACCAGAAACCAGCUUCCCUGCAAGCCUGAAUCCCAGACUGAACAGAACCACGCAGAGGAAAAGGAGUCAUUUUCCAAAGGCUUCCAGCAGCACUGACCUAACAAGACAGGAUAAAACAUGGGCUAUGGCGCAGAUGGCUGAAUUAGAUGUUCUAGAAGCUACCUAAGUCUCUUAGGAAGUCUGCAGGAAGCAGAAUACACACAUUCACCAAUCCCAGCCUUGUGUCUUAACUACCCUCAGGCUUCAUCAGUUGAAUUUAUCUUGACUCAGCUUCACAGUUGGAAGGAUCAGCUGGGAAGGGCUGUAAGUCAUGUGUUCCUUGGUUUGUGAGGUGCAAUUCAGAUACUGGAGGAAUCAUCCACAAAAAAUUGAUGUUUAGCCCCAGAAGGCAGGCUCUUCUCAUAAGCAAAGCCUUCAUAGAAGAAGGACAAGUCAUGUCCCUUCUCUGGUGCAGGUCUUACCUGCAGAUGGGGAGGGAUGCAGGAAACCAUCUAGUGAGGUGAAUUAAAAUCAUAAGCUGCACAGGCAGAGACAUGAGGAAGAACCGCUUAAGUAGUUCUUUGCUUAAUAUUAUGUUCAUAUUUGUGGGAUAAAAUGGAUUUUUAAAGAAUCUGUUUACAAUUGGAUGAAUUAUAUAUAUAUACCCAUUAUGUAAUUGAAUACCAACAUAAUCUUCCAUAAUGACAGGCAGAAGCCUUCUAAUGUUUGGGACGGGACUGCUGUUUUCUUCUUGCUUGCCUAUCUUUCAGAUCCAUUGUUUUGCAGUUCUUUACAUGAUGCUUCCUUUCUUCCUUCUUUGAAAUUCAUCCAUGCUAACUGGCUGUAUUUAUUAUUAUGCUCCCUUGAAAAUAUCUUUCCUUUAUUACUUAUGUCUUGAUAGCAUUCCAAGCAUGCCAUGCUGCAGUGCUUUUUUUUCUUGCUGUUGCAAGUUUAAGCCUCUCGAUCUAGUCUUGUACCUCCACCAGUCCAAAAAUGGGAUAUAACUAUCUCUAUGCAAGGUGAAACAAAUGUCUUCAGAGGACAAAGAAGAACUAUAGUGAGGCUGCUUACAGGCUUAGAAGGGAUUUUUCCCUUCAGUGAUUAGAAAGAACAAGAAAAGAAACUCAUACGAGUAAGCAUUUGUUAGUUCAGUUCCUGAAUCAAAUACCCCAUUGAUUUUUAGUAUCAUUUGAUGCAAAAAUUGAUAUAUUUUUUUCUUUUAAACAUGUUUCUGCUGGAAAUUUUACUGCUCGUGUGAGUGUUCUAGUUUAUUCUUGUUUGUUUGUUUGUGCCUUGGCAAUACGGCACAAUAUUCAGAUAAAAAAUAUUAUUCUGUGAAUUAGCGAUAUGUUUAAUACUGAAGGCAUUCUUCAUCUGCCUUUCAGACACUGGUAUAUGGAGUUUGUUUGUAGAAGGGCAGUCUUGUGGAUUGGCUUUAUGGGGGGGGGGAUGCUUCUCUUUUCAAUAUUACAAAAAACAUCUCAUUUUGUGAAAAAACCACAAACUCCUUGAGAAGCAGAGAGGCUUUCAUUUCAGAACUGAACUGCUUCUGUCCACUUUUCUUGGAAAAUCGUCAAGGAGUCUCCAGAUCUUGAAUGUUGAUGUUUGCAAUCUCCUGUAAAAGAAAAUACCCCUUCCCCUCAUCUUCUCAAAUGGUGAAUUAUUAUAUACAUAUUUGAAUGUUCACAUUUUGGUGGAUGGCUGACCACAAUAUGCCCUGCAAGAAAUUAUGAGCCUUUUCCUAACUUCAGCUUCACAAAGUCACGUUAAACAUUUUCUCGCAGCGUUCAUUAAUAGCACGAGCAGGUUUAUUCCACGACUGGGGAUUUGUUUCGCCAUGGGCUAAAUUAGAUUGGCCACAUGUGGUGCUCAGAGUGCCACAGUGGGGUCCAUGUAACACCCUCUACAUGUAACACCACUCUGCUGGAAAACAAGGGAGGGGGAAGAGGGAAGGUUUGGAAGAGUCGAUAAUUUUGCAGUUUAGCUCAGUUUCUGGUGGCGGUUGUUGUUGUUGUUUUGAGUUGUGUGUACUACGUUUGAAGAGAAAGCUAGGACUGGUUGGAGCCUUAGUAAGAAAUAAAAAAAUUGGAGGUGAAAGGGCUCACUGAUAAAAGAGCUGCUUUCAUUUACUGCUCCAGGCAUCUGCUGUAAAGGAGCCAAAGCGAAUGUGCGAGCAUCAGAGACAGUCACAGGAGGGAGGAGGCAACAGUCAGAGCUGUGAGUAACUGUACAUAAACAUAAUUUAAAUCAAAACAGCUGAAUUACAAUUUAGGACAUAAAAGGAAAGAGAAAAGGUGGAAUGAAGUAAAGAAAAACAAACCCCACAAAUCGACCACAGUCAAACGAGUGGGGAACGCAGAGGAGCAGCAAAUGGAAGGCAAAAAAAUCAGCAAAGCCAUCAGGGUGCAGUGGUUCAUUCCUGUGGUACCCUGUGGUUCCCAGCUCAAUUACUCAAUCAGGUCUCCUGCUUUCCAGGCCAAGAGGAGCCCUGAAGUACCAAAUCUUGCCUUCAGGCUUCUCAUUUUCAAACACAAGGCUCUUUCCAGCUCAGCCUCCCCAUGCCCACCUCUUUAUGCUGCUCCGUGCCACCUCACAGCCCUGCUGCUCCCAGGAGUGCAUUAGCACUCGUCAUCUCGCCAUCUCAUGUCACUGCUGCUGUCUUGUUCUGUGUUCACACAGCUCCUUUUACAAAGGAGUUUUCAUCCACAAUUAAGGCUCCUAAGCCCUAACACAACAGCCACUGAUGCUCCACAGCCACUGGGGCUUUUGUGUCUCCUGCCUUUUCUCAAUCCCACCCAGUGUCGCUGGCUGGUGUCCCUACAAACAAGUACAAAUCUGGAUUUAUAAUCCUAUUAAAUAUUUGGCCUUGAUGAUACCAUGUGGCAAUGAGUGCCACUGAUGACUCAAUUUUAAAUGUGUUUUCCUGACAUUCUAAUUAAAUGGGGAGAGCAAGAAGAACAUUGCCAGGUCAAUGUGGCUAAGGGAGAAUGUUGUUGAUGGGCAUCACAAAGACUAAUUGACCAUUCCUUCAAGUCCGAGAGACGUUGCUGUGAUGGAACAAAGACCUGUCUUUGUUCAGUGGCCAGAGGAGAAUGGCAAGAGCAGAAGAAAACAGUAGGAUAGAAGGUGUCUCAAACAGAGGCUGUUGCCCCAUACUUCUGAGGAUGUUAUUAACGGCUCUGCCUGCAGUAGACCUUUCGGGAAACGCCUCGCUGGCUCCACUGCUGAAACCUCCAUUGUGCCUGGAAGAAUGAGGGUUUAAACCUUUCCCCAGAUACUUGGGUUUUGCUUUCUCAUUCAUGCAAACUUAGCUUUGCUUGCACGUUGGGCAUGUUUCAUUUCUCAGGAUAAAAUAUGAGAAAAUGCUAAGAAACAAAAUAAUCCUCGCUCCUUUAGGAAAGGCCCAGUUAUUUCCCUCACUGAUCCAUAUGUCCAAUUAGUCCAUAAAGAGUUCCUCUCAGCUACUUUGAUAUACCAUUUUCCAGCUUUAGCAACAUCUGAGCCAUCUGAUGUGUGUGUGUGUGUGUGAGCACGCAGCAAGAUGAGGACGUGCGACAAUAUUUUUUCUACAGCAGAAAUGUGUAUAUUUCUUCAUGCAUACAUAAUUAAAAAUGGUUGAAAGCGACUUUGAUUAAGCUUCCUCAAGAAUUCAAACUAAUGUUAAUCAUAUUUCAGGAGCGAUCAUGCAAUAAUAUUUUUAGCCAAAAAAUAAGGGAGGCUGUUUGUCUUGUGGCUGGAAACAUUUUGCAGUUCUUACUUCAGCUCAUCCUAACAAGUGACCACUGUUGAGCAGUUACUAGGAUAAAUAGUGCAUAAUAGCAAGGACAGAGAGAAAUGAAGAGUCAUAGAAAAGGGAGGAGAAUCUUGUUUCAUCUCAGAUUUGAAACAACACAGAGGCCAAAAUCAGCAGGGUGGGAAGUCUGUUCCAGAUGGCAGAGCUGCAGAAGUUGCACCAACAGUAGCCAACUUGUGGGAAGAGGCAGAGAGAAAUAAUACGGUUUCAUCCAACAAAGUAUCAGGUAAUAUAAGAGAGGGACUGAACAGUGCCAGAGCUCUGACUGAUGCUUCCUGAAGGGGAUAGUCCUGCAAUAAUUGGGAGGGUCACAGUGACUCAGAAACCAUGCGCUGCAGGGGAGCUGGGGCGGCAAGGGGGGUUAAUACUUUUUUCCUAGAUGCAGCACUGAGUCAUAAAGCCUUACCCUUUUCUUUCUUUUUUUUUUUUCCCCUUCGGGCUGUUCUGUUAAGUAAAAAUGAUGUGGUAUGUUCUUUUUCCAGAAGCUUUUGAGAUUUUACAUUUUGGAGAGUCAUCUCCAAAUGGAUAUUGGGGAAUUUUGGAUGUCGGGGGAAGUUCUUUACAGAGAGAGUGGUCAUGUGCUGGAACAGGCUGCCCGGAGAGGCUCUGAGUGCUCUGUCCUUGGAGGUGUUCAAGGCCAGAUUGGAUGGGGCCUUGGGCAUCCUGGUCUAGUACCAGAUCAGGAGGUUUGUGGCCCUGACUGUGGUAGGGGGUUGGAACUUGAUGAUCCUCGGUGUCCCUUCCAACCCAAGGCAUUCUAUGAUUCUAUGAUGUCACAGAGCCCAGAAGACACGCCCUCAUCGGUGGGACACCAUGUCCUCAGGCAGCUCUAUUGUCUCUUAUAGAAUCCUUAAAGUUGGGAAGACCACAAAGAUAAUCUAGCCCAACCAUUAACCCUGGGGCCUGUGACUGCUCCAGACCAUGUCGCUCAGUGAUAUCUACCCUUUUCUUGAACACCUUCAGGGACAUUUCUUAUGCAGAAGAUGCCAAAAGUAAUUGAGAAUCUCCCACACAUCACACUGGCUGCCAGCACAGAGCAAGUGGAGAACAUCUCAUGGUCCUUGAUGCGGAUUUUAGAAAUGCAUCAAACCUGAGGUUUUUCAAGGUCCACACUUGCAGACAGGACCCAGCUGGCACUGCCAGAUGUUGGGCUCUCAACCCAGCCUGGCAUUUUGUAGGGACGGCUGUCAACCAAAAUUUAUGGCUGAGCACUGCAUAAGUAGGACUAACACGAAGAGACCCCACUCCACAUUUGGCUUGUGGUUAGAAAUGAGCUCAUCUCAAGAUUCAUUUCCGAGCUUGAAUUAGGAUGAGGUUUGGGCUUGGAGCUGGCAAUCCAGGAGCCACUGUUCAAUGAUUUCAGCUGCAAGAUAUUAAAAUCAUUUGCAUUCAGAAAGAACCUUCCUAGUAUUUUGCCAUGUUUCUUAGAAACUAGUUUGAUUGUUGGAAUUGAAACAGUUAAGUCAUUCGGGUUUUGCUGAUCUGACUUUGAUUUCACAUGAUUUUAGAGCAGCUUGUAUAUAAAUGCUAGCUUUUAAUGAUGCAAGGCCUUAACAGUUGGUUUAAAAACUGAACAAUGAACAUGCCGAUUAACUUGCCACAGAAGACACACACAUUGAGUCUCCACUGGUUAUUUGGCAACAUCGUGAAUACUUUCUUCAAACUGAUUUCAUGACUACACACAGUCUGGAAUAGCAACCAAUCCUUCAGACAAAAAAGUAGUUUUUAGGACUUUGGUCUUCUUAUUGUUCACAUUGUUCCCCAAAAUUCUGUUCAGCUUUUGGCCUACAUUUUUCAUGAGGAAAAUAAAUAAAUAAAUGCUUUUUUGGAUGAUGCUGAGAUCUUAAAAAGUCCUGCUAAACUUUCUGGUUUUAAUUUCCUUAAUCUGAAAAUAAUUUUAAUUUGUAAUUCAGAACUUAAAUCACCUGAUCAGUUUUUAUUUUCCAUUUUCCCAAAUUCAAGCAGCUUUAUUCGGUGCAAGAUGAUACUUUUUGACUAAUCGGUCAAUUAAAAGCAUCAUUUUUCUAUAUGCCCAACAGGAAGAAAUAGAAUGAAUGUUCAAAAUGUUCAGUGACCUGAAAAAAUCUAUUUUGUACCAGCUCUGUUCAUCGAGCUUUAAAACCAGGGCUGUCAGUGGGAGGACCCCAAAGGAAUCUCACCCAAUUGAACUGAAUGGACCACUGUGUUCUUAAGGGGCCAGUCAUCUUCCAAGCAGAUUUUUUGUACAUCACUCCCAAUUUAAGAAGCAUGCAAACAUGCAGCUGAUAGCAAUCUUUGACUGAAGUGUGUGUAGGAAAGAAGCAGAAACCUUGCUGCUCUUGAUCAGAUAUAUUUUUAAGGCCAUGGUGUAUUUUCCAAUAACUGUGCAGAAUUUAGCGUUGUCAUCUCAGGAAAAUUUGAGAGGAACAAGGUUAUUUUUAAAAAAGCAACAAACAGAAGAGGUUGACAGAUGAACUGCAGUUGCUGAAGGGACCUCCAAAGCUUUACAAGCCUUUCUCCUUACCAUUUACCUCCUCCGUUCUACCUUCUUUUGCAAAAAAUGAUACUUUGCUGGUCUAUAUUUUUACUGUUGUGGGCAGAAUGUCUAUAAACUGAUCUUUAUAAAUCCCAGUAGAACGUCCAUAUUAUAUCCUGCAGGUUUUUCUAAGUUUAUACAAUACCAGCACAGUCCACCUUGGCAAAUGGACCUCCCUGAACCUAAAGGUUGUGCCCCUGGGCUUCUGAUCACUGAACAUGUGACAAAUCUUUGAAGAGAAAUGGAGCUGGUGACACCAGGUGGCACACUGAGAAGGGCUUUAAGAGGAGCUGUGCACACAGGGCUGGGGGCACUCUCUCCUCUUUUUUGAAUCGUUGGCUGAGUUGAACAACAUUUCAGGCUAACCUGAGUUCUCUCCUUCUUGUUGCCUCAGAAUGAAUCAGAUACGUCAAACUAGAAGAGGAUUUCAUUUCAGGUUGAAAUAUAUAUACAUUUCAGUUAUUUUUCUGCUCCUGUUGUUGUUUUUAACCCUCUUAAAAGGGAACUUGAAUUCAGUUUCUGAAUUAGAAGUUCCUUCCAAAUGAAAAAUCCAAGCAUUUAUUUCAGGAAAGGCAAAGGGAAAUGCAUUAAACAUUCAUUUCAAAUUUGACCUAAUUUGAUUUGCUGAACCUAACAUUGAUUCAUCAGCACCUUUCCUUGGCUUGGAAAGGAGCUCUUCCCAGCACGUUGCACAGAGCCCUCCCUUCAGAGAUGCUGAAAUGUCAGGUUGUGCUCAGCCCGAUGCUCUCGGUGCCAUCUCACGCCCACUGGCAAAUGGUGAUGGACGGCACAUGUCAGGUGUCAGGGCACACAACAUGGCCUAAGUGGGUAUUCAGUGACCGCAUGGUCAAGGUGUUUUGCUGGUGUGGUGGCCCCAGGGCAUUCCUGUGCAGUCACUGGCCACAGCACCUGUUGUGAUGCCUUCCUUGGCUCAUGUCACUCCUUGGCUCUUCUUUACCCUGAUGGUGCCAAUGAGUUCGUGCUGAGUCCCAGGAGCUCCAUUUCUAUAGCACACCAAGGAAACUACGGUAAUACAAGACACCUCUGUCUGCUGACAUGACUCACAGAAACAUAGACUGGCUAAGGUUGGAGCGGACCUUAAAGAUCAUCUAGUUCCAACCCACUGCCAGGGGCAGGGUUGCCAACCACCAGAUCAGGCUGCCUAGGAUCCCACCCAACCUAGCCUUGCAUGCCUCCAGGGACAUACUCAUCCUGCAGCACCACUCUCUUCAUGUGCUCAAGGGCAGCUUUUGUGCAAGCAGGCUUCUGACAUUUGUCACAUAUAAAACAUGAGAACCAUUCAAGGGGUGCAAAUUUUGCUAUGACCAUCUCUUCUAGUAUGAAACUUGUGACAUAGAGGUGGCUGUAUCUACCUGUCAGCCUCCACCCCUGCCAGGCAUUUUUUACUGCUGACUCUCCUAUUUUUUGUCGUGCUCUCUGCUUGUUGUCUGAGAUGAGAUGAAAGAUUUUUAAUAGUGAUGGCAUACAGCUCUAGAGACAAAAGGGCCUAUUCUUUUCUUAUCUUGGAUGUGUUAAAAACACUCUACCUUCAUCCCACUAUGUUCAAAAGGAGACAAAAAGUGAAAUGAAGUGAACAAUUUUUCAGCACCAUUAAUAAAACAACCCCAAAUGAUAUAAAAUAGCCUUGCUUUCCAGCUCCUUGUUUCACAUGACAAAUACUGUACCCACGAGCUUUGCCUUCUCUCUUGAAGAGAGAGAAAACCUUCAGAACUUUUUCUGGGCUCUCAAACUUCCAGCGCGGUUCGUAGGGACUGUAAUUUAGCCCCAGGCAUUUGAGAAUCUACUUUGUGUGUUUUGGCAAUGACAUGAAAAUGCAGAGAGAACUGUACAUCUUGCAGUUGUAUGCUGAGCUAGGCGAUCUAAGGGGCCUGUCUAUAAUAGAGGAAUCAUCUUUUCUUCAAUGAAGUGCUACUAUUGUUGUGAUCUUCAAUAAAGGAUAUAAUGGAUGCAUUCAUGUGGUGGCUGUUGUUUGUGUGUCAUUCUUUCAGCGUACGGCUAAGCGCACAAGAGUCUUUUAAACUCUUCUCUACUCAGAUCCAGUAGUGCUAGUAUUUUGUGCCAAACUAGGUUGGUUUUCUCCCUGCAAGCUUUUUUUCCUAUUAUUUUUGGAUAAAGCCAAUUGACCAUGAAAUACCUCUUUAUUGCAAAAUGAUAUCUCGAAGCCCUUACUGUGGGAUCAUGGGUCAAAACAGCGGCAUAAUGCCCAUUUGCGUGGAGGUGCUGGUCGCUUAAAUAUCCAGCUUUCUAGAACCAGUCACUUUGGCCCAUCGUAGGCGCAUUAAGAAGUUGAUAUUUAUUUAGGGUCAGAAGUAGUAGUCAAAGCUUUAUGCUACAAUUGUAUCAAUAGCUAUUUUUUAUACAAGAAGUUCAAACUAAAGUUAAGACUUUCAUGUGAGUAAACAACAUCCCCAGGCCUUAGAAGGGUGACCUGAAUAAAGCCAUUUCCUUCUGUUUGAUUACAGUACAGGGCAGGGGAGAGAUUUUCACAGACAAAAGGUAAUAAUUGUGUCGGGAAAGGCAGAAAUUUGCAUGAAUCUACAGAGCAAUGGCAUGAGCAAAGAGCAUCUCAGCACGCAAGGUCUUUGCGCACUUAUCACAGAUGCAGUCCAAAAUGUGUCAGAUAGCUGGCUCUGAACUGGGGUCCAGGCUUUGAGGAAGGGUGCUACGCAAGAGGGUAGGCAGCAGUGCCCAAAGUGAGGCUCUCACAGGCCAUGAGAGGAUGCUAAUUUUUCAACCAUACCGCAACAGUUUUAGAAGAGGGGAAGGGGAGGAAAUGUUGCCUUGAAUCUACUCUAAAGAAUUUACGUGAAUCAAUAGGCCUACGUUUAAAUAAGUUUAGAUGUAAUUAUCCGUUACAAAUCUGGUUUUCUGCCUUGUUAGCCGGAGAUCCUAGGCACUUUCAUUUAAAAUUUGUUCCAAUCUCAACCUCAUUUAACUACACAAUGAGAACAGUUUAGGUGAAGAGAAAAAAAAAAAAAACAGGAAAAAAAAGAACAACACAAAACCUUCCAACAUCUUUUCUUUUUAGGUGAGUUGAAAAGGAUGAGCACCUAGCAAGGUUUUUUCUCAAGUCACUUUUUAAAGAUUGUUAUUAUCUUUUCAUAUUAAAGUUAACAUUACCAUAUGCUGUUGAGCUUUUGUUGAUGGCGAUGCUUAAACUGGGAUGUUGUUUCCUUUGGAGAUUCUUACUGCCAGUCAUUAAUUUACAUUUUUUUGAAAUCAUACAGCGAGUGCUUUGUUGAUGCCUGUUUUCAUUUUGUUUCUCUCUC
This is a long non-coding RNA of Numida meleagris (helmeted guineafowl), 20179 nucleotides long. RefSeq lists it as uncharacterized. The record is from RefSeq and is a predicted model, not a curated record. The transcript is spliced from 11 exons. NCBI's taxonomy places the organism in Eukaryota, Metazoa, Chordata, Aves, Galliformes, Numididae.